CCUGUUGUUUGCCUUUUCAGACCAGAUUUGCCUCUCCGAGGUCUUUGUCAACACUGAUUUUUGAUAGGCGGUGAUAUCCCCGCACGUGUUGGCAGAAUUCAAGGUUCAGCUCAGGGAUGUCGACAUGAGCGAGUCCACUGGUCUAGUGAUGUAGAUGUCGGCAAAGACAGGAACGCUUGAAGAAGCUUUGAGUUGGAGUUGUGACAAAAGAAGCGAUGAUGCCACAUUCAGGGUUACGGUUGAGAUACUUUAUGUUGGCACUAUAAACAGCCGGUGCAGUUUUACCUCUAU
This is a long non-coding RNA of Erigeron canadensis, 291 nucleotides long. RefSeq lists it as uncharacterized. NCBI's taxonomy places the organism in Eukaryota, Viridiplantae, Streptophyta, Magnoliopsida, Asterales, Asteraceae. The transcript has 3 exons. The record is from RefSeq and is a predicted model, not a curated record.